Long non-coding RNA from Cyprinus carpio carpio, 2189 nucleotides. The record is from Ensembl. Lineage: Eukaryota; Metazoa; Chordata; Actinopteri; Cypriniformes; Cyprinidae.
AUGGCUUUUCUCCAGAGUGCAUUCUUUUGUGUUUCAUUUCCUUCUCCCUCACAGAGAGAUAAGGGAGCAAUGACGCUUCACAGUGUGAGCACUUGUAAGGUCCGGCUUCAGUACAUGGAUUUGAUGGAUAGCUCACUCAGAUGUGCAAGAGUGAAGUUUUGCGUUGCUAUUGUUAUUGUGAAUGAUUCAUCUGUGCAUACUGGCCCUCUUGGAAAUGUGCUAAGGCCCCCUCCCAGCUUCUUGAUUGAGACCCAAAGACUUAUCGUUAUAACUUAAAGAUUUAUUUCUUUGUUUAUUUAUUUAUUUAUUCAUGUUUCUGUUUACUUUUAAUGUGGUUUCAGACAUUUGAACCCCGUUUUCCACCUCUAAGUUUGAAUCAGAUAUCUAAACAUCAUUGUUUUUAUUAGUCUAAACACACAUUUUGAGCACUAAUCCAUCUACCUCUGUGUGCUUUAAGUCACUGCAUCAUUUCCCACGACACACAACAGAUUUCACUUCAAUCCAGUAAAUAUUUGCAUGCUUUUCCCUGGCAGAAGGACAGCAGACCAUGUAAUGGCUCUGUCCUCUCAAGCGCUAGUCGACAGUGAAACCUAAUGGUACGUGCAUAACUUGCAUAAUGUUACAUGCAGACAAAAACAACUAAGAUGGAUACAAACUGGCCAAGAGAGCAACAGAACAGAUGAAAGGUGGACCUGGUCAUCAAUGACUCUUGUUUAUUUCCGUCCAGGCAAGGAAAUGAGUGAUUGGGAUCUCAGAUUAGCGGCACUAAACAGCUGGGAAUGUUUACACAGGAAAUUAGAUGGUGAUUUUCACUUUCUGUCCCCACUGUGCCAUAUGGAGUGAUGCAUUAGGAUUAUUCUGAGGAUGAAUCACAAUUCAAUGCCUCUAUGAAUUUCAGCAAGACGCUCAUGCAUAAAAAUCCAUUCUGUUAUGAUGCAGCCAGAUGCAGUUUCAUGUUUAUUAGUGUGCUAUCUCAUUUUAAAAACCCAUGUUUCUUUAUCCGAAUUAGACAAUUAGACAUUGCACAACCUGCAUCAUGUCCAUCGGAUCCAGUUUUUCCUUCUUUAUACUCUCUCUUUAUACCGCCAUCUGUGCAUUGAAGUCAAUGGCAGCAGAGUGUGCAAAGAUAAGAUGUGAGAGUUUUACAGGUUUUAUUGAACGCUGUACAAACUGGGAAAUCUCAUCCUGAAAUGUGGCAUGACACUUCAGGAGACUCGAUAUGUCACCACAGCAACGGAUCAUCAUCUACACAGCCUGACGGGUCAGAGAACAUCACAUGAACACAGGCCUGACAAAAACACCCAAGGUCAAAGCUCACUGCAGAGGCGUGACAGCACUGAUAAUUAAAUCCACCCACGGUCUUUAAUAUACCAGAGCUUAAAACAUCUUUUGUAGCAGCGAGCUGCAUGUGGUUAGACACAUCUAGGUUUUUAGACUAUCAAGGUUUUGUUCGUUCAGCUGUGAUGGAAUAGUGCUUUUGAAUCUGACGGACAUGAAUAGCUGAAUGAUGGAGAUACAAGAAUAAAAAACCUUGUGAAAUUCUCUGUGAGUUAUAGAAGGUGACACAAAAGUUAAAACAGUACAUGUUGUUGCUAAGACCAUGAAAUCUUUUCAGUCUUUAAAGGGGUAGUUUGAAUUUCUUUCUUUUCUUAAACCUAAAAGAAGAACAUUUUGAAGAAGGUUACUGGUCUCCACUGACUUGUAUGAAAAAAAUACUAUGGAAGUCAAUGGGGAUCAGAAACCAACAUUCUUCAAAAAAUCUUUUUUUAUCUGCAGAAGAAAGAAAACAUGUUUGGAACAAUUUGAGGUUAAUUAAACAAUGACAGAAGUCUCAUUUUUGGGUGAACCCUUUAAAGGAGAAGUCAGUAAUUUUUGCCUAUUAAAAAAGUUUUACCAUUCAUUCAUUAAGAAAUAAACGGCACUUUUGAAAAAUGUUUAAAAUGAUCUACACUCACAUGAAAUGAACACUCCAGUCAUAUCAGUUGCAUAAUAAACGCUGAUUUAUUCUGCUUUGAGCUGGUCACUUCCAAGUUAAGAUCACAUGACCAGCUGAAUUUUCUGACUUUAUCUCAAUAACCUUCCUGUUAUGGAAUGGAAUAAAUUAUGAACAUCUCUUUGUUAAUAGCACAAUGCUACAAAAUAACUAAAAACAUUUCACACCAGAUGUCAGCAUGACUUGUAUCGGCCAA